This 24-nucleotide transfer RNA is filed under the name Cacopsylla sp. SO-2015. Its description in RNAcentral is "partial tRNA-Cys". Lineage: Eukaryota; Metazoa; Arthropoda; Insecta; Hemiptera; Psyllidae. The record is from RNAcentral.
AAUUUUUUAGUCAAAAAUGAUGUU